GGUUAAGCGACUAAGCUGCAAUACGCGGUUUUUCCCUGCAGCCGAGGCGAUGAAGGGCGUGCUAAUUCGCGAUAAGCUUGUAAGGUGAUAUGAACUGCGAGAACCGGCGACUGAAUGGGGGAAACCCAGUGUCACACUAUCAUUAACUGAAUCCAUAGGUUAUCGAGGCGAACCCGUGAACUGUAAACAUCUAAGUACCCUGAGGAAAAAAGAAAUCAACCGAGAUUCCCCAGUAUGGCGAGCGAACGGGGAGGAGCCCAGAGCCUGAAUCAGCAUGUGUGUGUUAGUGGAAGCGUCUGGAAAGGCGCGCGAUACAGGGUGACAGCCCUACACAAAAGCGCGCUGGGUGAGCUCGAUGAGUAGGCGGGACACGUGGGGUAUCCUGUUCGAAUAUGGGGGACUAUCCUCCAAGGCCAAAUACUCCUGACUGACCGAUAGUGAACCAGUACCGUGAGGGAAAGGCGAAAAGAACCCCGGCGAGGGAGUGAAAAAGAACUCCGGAAACCGUGUACGUACAAGCAGUGGGAGCACCCUCAGUGUGAUCAAGUACCUUUGGUAUAACGGGUCAGCGACUUAUAUUCUGCAGCAAGGUUAACCGAAUAGGAGCCGGAGGGAAACCGAGUCUUAAUUGGGCGUUAAGUUGCAGGGUAUAGACCCGAAACCUGGCAGAUUCCAGCCAUGGGCAGGUUGAAGGUUGGGUAACACCUAACUGGAGUGACCGAACCACCAAUGUUGAAAAUAGCGGAUGACCUGUGGCUGGGGUGAAAGGCCAAUCAAACCGGGAGAUAGCUGGUUUCUCCCGAAAGCGCCGGUAGCGCUCGUGAACUCAUCUCCGGGGUAGAGCACUUUCGGCUAGGGGCCAUCCCGGCUUACCAACCCGAUGCAAACUGCGAAUACCGGAGAAUGUUAUUCGCUGAGCAUACGGCGGGUGCUAACGUCCGUCGAAGAGGGAACAACCCAGACCGCUGCCGCGUCCCAAAGUCAGCGGUUGGCGGGAACGAUGUAGGCCGCCCAGACAGCCGUGGAUGUUGGCUUGUAGCUGUUUCAUCAUUUAAAGAAAAGCGCAAUAGCUCACUGGUCGAGUCGGCCUGCGCGGAAGAUGCAACGGGCUAAACCAUGCAACUGGCUGCGGCAGCGACACCUCGCGUGUUGCUGGGUAGAGCGCUGUGCUUCCGUGAAGGUGGCCUGUGAGGGCUGCUGGAGGUAUCAGAAGCGCGAAUGCUGACAUAAGUAACGAUAAAGCGGCGGUGCGCCCGCUCGCUUGAAGACCAAGGGUUCCUGGUCCAACGUUAAUCGUGGGGUAAGUGAGUCGACCUCUAAGGCGAGGCCGAAAGGCGUAGUCGAUGUCGGGUUAAUAUUCCCCGUACUUGGUAUCGCGAAGGGGACGGAGAAGGCUAUGUUGGCCGGGCGUGACGGUUGUCCCGGUUUAAGCGCGUAGGUGUGCGUUCCGUGUAAAUCCGGGUUCACUUUAAUACCGGGAGGCGUGACGACGAGGCACUACGGUGCUGAAGCAACAAAUGCCCGCUUCCGUGAAAAGCCCUAAGCAUCAAAACAUCAAAUCGUACCCCCAAACCGAUACAGGUGGUCAGGUAGAGAAUACCAAGGCGCUUGAGAGAACUCCGGGUGAAGGAACUAGGCAAAAUGGUGCCGUAACUUCGGGGAGAAGGCACGCUGACACGUAGGUGAAGUGAUUUUACUCACGGAGCUGAAGUCAGUCGAAGAUACCAGCUGGCUGCAACUGUUUAUUGCCGCCGUUAAGACCAAAACACGAAAGUGGUCGUAUACUGUGACGCCUCGCCCGGUGCCGGAAGGUUAAUUGAUGGGUCAGCGCAAGCGAAGUCUGAUCGAAGCCCCGGUAAACGGCGGCCGUAACUAUAACGGGUCCUGUUGCAGCGAAAUUCCUUGUCGGGUAAGUUCCGGACCUGCACGAAUGGCGUAAUGAUGGCCGUGCCGUCUCCACCCGGAGACUCAGCGAAAUUGAACCGCCGUGAAGAUGCAGUACCCGCGGCAAGACGGAAAGACCCCGUGAACCUUUACUAUAGCUUCUGGACACUUCGAACAUUGAGCCUUGAUGUGUAGGAUAGGUGGAGUUUUGAAGUGGACGCCAGUCUGCAUGGAAACCGACCUUGAAAUACCACCCUUUAAUGUUUGAUGUUCUAACGUGACCCGUAAUCCGGGUUGCGGAUACAGUGUCUGGUGGGUAGUUUGACUGGGGCGGUCUCCUCCUAAAGAGUAACGGAGGAGCACGAAGGUUGGCUAACUCGUCGCAUAUCAGAGGUUAGUGCACGGCAUUGGCCGACUGCGAGCGUGACGGCGCGAGCAGGUGCGAAAGCAGGUCAUAGCGAUCCGGUGGUUCUGAAUGGAAGGGCCAUCGCUCAACGGAUAAAAGGUACUCCGGGGAUAACAGGAAGCCGAUACCGCCCAAGAGUUCAUAUCGACGGCGGUGUUUGGCACCUCGAUGUCGGCUCAUCACAUCCCGCUGAAGUAGGUCCUAAAAGCGGGCGGCUGUUCCGCCAUUUAAAGUGGUACGCGAGCUGGGUUUAGAACGUCGAGACGGUGUCUGGUCCCUAUUCGCCGGGCGCUGGAGAACUGAGGGGGCUGCCAGUUCCUAGCAAUGAGAGGACCGAGUGGACGUAUCACUGGUGUUCGGGUUGUCAUGCCAGCACUGCCCGGUAGCGGCACGCAGCAGAGGCGCCGGAAAGCAUCUAAGCACGAAAUCCUGCCCCGAGAUGAAAGUUCUCCUGGUGACUUUGUAUUCCCUGGAAGGAACGUUGAAGACGACGACGUUGAUAGGCCGGGUGUGUAAGCGCAGCGAUGCGUUGAGCCAACCGGUACUAAUGAACCGUGAGGCUUAACCUU
This 2859-nucleotide ribosomal RNA is filed under the name Salmonella enterica subsp. enterica. RNAcentral describes it as "23S ribosomal RNA". It matches the Rfam family "Bacterial large subunit ribosomal RNA". The record is from RNAcentral. Lineage: Bacteria; Pseudomonadati; Pseudomonadota; Gammaproteobacteria; Enterobacterales; Enterobacteriaceae.